RNAcentral lists this ribosomal RNA (375 nucleotides) under uncultured bacterium. Its description in RNAcentral is "bacterial SSU rRNA". It matches the Rfam family "Bacterial small subunit ribosomal RNA", at positions 523 to 898 of the family's 1533-position model. The record is from RNAcentral.
AUACGUAGGGAGCGAGCGUUGUCCGGAAUUACUGGGCGUAAAGGGUGCGUAGGCGGCAUGGCAAGUCAGAUGUGAAAUCCCCGGGCUUAACUCGGGAGUUGCAUUUGAAACUGCUGUGCUUGAGUGCAGGAGAGGAAAGCGGAAUUCCUAGUGUAGCGGUGAAAUGCGUAGAUAUUAGGAGGAACACCAGUGGCGAAGGCGGCUUUCUGGACUGUAACUGACGCUGAGGCACGAAAGCGUGGGGAGCAAACAGGAUUAGAUACCCUGGUAGUCCACGCUGUAAACGAUGGAUAAUAGGUGUGGGGGAGAUACAACCUCCGUGCCGGAGCAAACGCAAUAAGUAUCCCGCCUGGGGAGUACGGCCGCAAGGCUGAA